AUUGAACGCUGGCGGCAUGCUUUACACAUGCAAGUCGAACGGCAGCGCGGGCUUCGGCCUGGCGGCGAGUGGCGAACGGGUGAGUAAUUCAUCGGAACGUGCCCAGUAGUGGUGGAUAGCCCGGCGAAAGCCGGAUUAAUACCGCAUACGACCUGAGGGUGAAAGCGGGGGACCGAAAGGCCUCGCGCCAUUGGAGCGUCCGAUGUCGGAUUAGCUAGUUGGUGGGGUAAAGGCUUACCAAGGCGACGAUCCGUAGCUGGUCUGAGAGGACGACCAGCCACACUGGGACUGAGACACGGCCCAGACUCCUACGGGAGGCAGCAGUGGGGAAUUUUGGACAAUGGGGGCAACCCUGAUCCAGCCAUGCCGCGUGCGGGAAGAAGGCCUUCGGGUUGUAAACCGCUUUUGUUCGGGAAGAAAUCCUCUGGGCUAAUACCCCGGGGGGAUGACGGUACCGGAAGAAUAAGCACCGGCUAACUACGUG
Molecule: ribosomal RNA, 484 nt
Filed under: uncultured bacterium
Lineage: Bacteria
Description: partial 16S ribosomal RNA
Rfam family: Bacterial small subunit ribosomal RNA
Source: RNAcentral